ACACAUCAAAGUUUGGGGGUAGCGCAGACACCACCUUAAAAUAAUUAAUUUAUUUUUUAUUUGAAUUUCAGAAUUCUCUGUCAAUGAUUGCAGUGACGGGUCUUUCCCAUUUCUUUAUAUUAUCUAAGAAAGAUUUGAAUUUUUGAAUCCAAAUAUCAGACUGUAACCAUAAAUGAGAUAAACAAUAAGCAUGCUUAAAGACAAAACCAGUGUGUAAACGGUCAACAAAUUAAGAGAAACUUUUUUUUAAACUCUUACUGAAUCACACACACAAGUAUUUGCAGAUGGAUGUAUGGUGCAUUAUCUAGUUUAAUAGACUCUCCAUUUCCACUCCUAGAAAUGAGAAAAGUUUUGUUACUUUUGGAAUGAUCGGACGGGGAGAUGUGUAUAUGAAAUAGGGGGUAACAGAAUAUGAAAUUAGUAUGCAUGGGAAAAUGGAAUAAGGUAAUUAAAUUUUAUGCACCCUUGCAACGUCCACUGCCCAUGCAACUCGCAUGCUCACGUCGCUGAUUAGUGCUUGUAGCAGUAGGAUGUGUUGGAGGAGGGUGGCCACCGCAUCCCCAGCCCCAGGGCCCCCAACAGCCUCCCUGGCCGCCGCCGCCUCCUCCUCCUCCUCCGCCCCCACCACCUCCUCCACCUCCACCGCCCCCGCCACCUCCACCUCCACCUCCCCCGCCACCACCACCACCCCUGCCCCCUCCCCAUCCAUAACCUUUCCCAUUUCCUCCUCCACCACCACCACCACCACCGCCGCCGCCGCCGCCACCUCCUCCUCCUCCCCCUCCACCCCCACCCCCACCCCUACCACCUCCACCUCCUUUUUUACCACCAUUUCCUCUUUCCCGUCUUCCUUUGUACCUUUUACCUUUUCCUUUGUCACCAGCGCCCCCACCUCCACCUCCACCUCCACUAUUUGCACCCCCACCCCCACCGCCGCCGCCACUUCCACCACCACCACCUCCUCCUUUACCACCAUGGUUCAUAUUACUAUUCGUUGCAACUUCCUUAGACGAAGUUGUAUUACUUCCUUGCCCAUCUCCAACAAAUUUGUGGUUUUGGUGCGAAAGGUUAGGAAUGGAAGUAGUGUUGAAGUGAGUGACGCCAUGUUCAUCACCUUUCAGUCCAUCAACCAAAGGUGAGCUGAACGCUAUUGCGAGAACCAGCACAAGCCCAAACCCUCUGGCAAUCUCCAUCUUCUGAUGCAAAUUGACAAUGCAAAAAACACACUCACCUCGCUCCCUUUAUACUCUUUCAUUUGAUUUGAAUGGCCAUUGACAGCUGGACCCAGUCCCCACUACAAGUCUAGAACAAAUUCAAAGUUUCCCAAAGGCUGCAAGACGGAGGCUGAAAGAUAGGAAAGU
RNAcentral lists this long non-coding RNA (1361 nucleotides) under Vitis vinifera (wine grape). RNAcentral's name for it is "long non-coding RNA (VVIN_LNC001187)". The record is from RNAcentral. Lineage: Eukaryota; Viridiplantae; Streptophyta; Magnoliopsida; Vitales; Vitaceae.